This 425-nucleotide ribosomal RNA is filed under the name uncultured bacterium. RNAcentral's name for it is "partial 16S ribosomal RNA". It matches the Rfam family "Bacterial small subunit ribosomal RNA", at positions 354 to 796 of the family's 1533-position model. The record is from RNAcentral.
GUGGGGAAUAUUGGACAAUGGGCGCAAGCCUGAUCCAGCAAUGCCGCGUGUGUGAAGAAGGUCUUCGGAUCGUAAAGCACUUUCGACGGGGACGAUGAUGACGGUACCCGUAGAAGAAGCCCCGGCUAACUUCGUGCCAGCAGCCGCGGUAAUACGAAGGGGGCUAGCGUUGCUCGGAAUUACUGGGCGUAAAGGGCGCGUAGGCGGCUCUGUGAGUCAGGCGUGAAAUUCCUGGGCUUAACCUGGGGACUGCGCUUGAUACUGCAGGGCUUGAGGCCGAGAGAGGGUGGUGGAAUUCCCAGUGUAGAGGUGAAAUUCGUAGAUAUUGGGAAGAACACCGGUGGCGAAGGCGACCACCUGGCUCGGUACUGACGCUGAGGCGCGACAGCGUGGGGAGCAAACAGGAUUAGAAACCCUUGUAGUCC